UACGUAGGUGGCAAGCGUUGUCCGGAUUUACUGGGUGUAAAGGGAGCGCAGGCGGGGAAGCAAGUCAGUUGUGAAAACUAUGGGCUUAACUCAUAGAUUGCAGUUGAAACUGUUUCUCUUGAGUGGAGUAGAGGUAAGCGGAAUUCCGAGUGUAACGGUGAAAUGUGUAGAGAUUCGGAGGAACACCAGUGGCGAAGGCGGCUUACUGGGCUCUAACUGACGCUGAGGCUCGAAAGUGUGGGGAGCAAAC
Molecule: ribosomal RNA, 250 nt
Filed under: uncultured prokaryote
Description: partial 16S ribosomal RNA
Rfam family: Bacterial small subunit ribosomal RNA
Source: RNAcentral